RNAcentral lists this ribosomal RNA (591 nucleotides) under uncultured bacterium. RNAcentral describes it as "bacterial SSU rRNA". It matches the Rfam family "Bacterial small subunit ribosomal RNA", at positions 224 to 806 of the family's 1533-position model. The record is from RNAcentral.
GAGGAGCCCGUAUCCCAUUAGGUAGUUGGUAAGGUAACGGCUUACCAAGCCUACGAUGGGUAGCCGGCCUGAGAGGGUGACCGGCCACACUGGCACUGACACACGGGCCAGACUCCUACGGGAGGCAGCAGUGAGGAAUUUUGGGCAAUGGGGGAAACCCUGACCCAGCGACGCCGCGUGGGCGAUGAAGGUCUUCGGAUCGUAAAGCCCUGUGAGUGGGGAAGAAGGGAUUGGUUGCUAAUAUCAACCAGUUUUGACAGUACCCACAGAGGAAGCCCCGGCUAACUACGUGCCAGCAGCCGCGGUAAAACGUAGGGGGCUAGCGUUGUUCGGAAUUACUGGGCGUAAAGCGCGUGUAGGCGGUUUUGUAAGUCGGAAGUGAAAUUCCUCGGCUCAACCGAGGAACUGCUUUCGAAACUACUGAACUUGAGUAUGGGCGGGGAGAGCGGAAUUCCCGGUGUGGCGGUGAAAUGCGUAGAUAUCGGGAAGAACACCAGUGGCGAAGGCGGCUCUCUGGACCAUUACUGACGCUGAGACGCGAAAGCGUGGGUAGCAAACAGGAUUAGAUACCCUGGUAGUCCACGCCCUAAA